RNAcentral lists this non-coding RNA (82 nucleotides) under uncultured Ruminococcus sp. Its description in RNAcentral is "Cyclic di-GMP-I riboswitch". It matches the Rfam family "c-di-GMP-I riboswitch aptamer", at positions 6 to 83 of the family's 87-position model. From Rfam's summary of the family: GEMM was predicted in a large-scale screen for bacterial structured RNA regulatory elements. Genes associated with GEMM are involved in a diverse array of functions, including chemotaxis regulation, signal transduction, secretion and chitin. The record is from RNAcentral. Lineage: Bacteria; Bacillati; Bacillota; Clostridia; Eubacteriales; Oscillospiraceae.
AUAAUAGGCAAACCUGUUGAAAAACAGGGACGCAAAGCUCAGGUAUCUGAAGCGUUUUACCAACGUAUGAUCGACCGGCUGC